This 440-nucleotide ribosomal RNA is filed under the name uncultured bacterium. RNAcentral's name for it is "partial 16S ribosomal RNA". It matches the Rfam family "Bacterial small subunit ribosomal RNA", at positions 338 to 795 of the family's 1533-position model. The record is from RNAcentral.
CCUACGGGAGGCAGCAGUGGGGAAUAUUGCACAAUGGGGGAAACCCUGAUGCAGCGACGCCGCGUGAGUGAAGAAGUAAUUCGUUAUGUAAAGCUCUAUCAGCAGGGAAGAAAAUGACGGUACCUGAGUAAGAAGCCCCGGCUAACUACGUUCCAGCAGCCGCGGUAAUACGUAGGGGGCAAGCGUUAUCCGGAUUUACUGGGUGUAAAGGGAGCGUAGGCGGAAGUGCAAGUCUGAAGUGAAAGGGGGGGGCUCAACCCCCGGACUGCUCUGGAAACUGUACGGCUGGAGUGCAGGAGAGGUAGGUGGAAUUCCUAGUGUAGCGGUGAAAUGCGUAGAUAUUAGAAAGAACACCAGUGGCGAAGGCGGCUUACUGGACUGUAACUGACGUUGAGGCUCGAAAGCGUGGGGAGCAAACAGGAUUAGAUACCCGAGUAGUC